CUCAGUAGUAACUGGAGAAGUAUGUAGCUGAAGAUCACAAGCUCCCAGAGCGUUUUAAAUAUAAACCUGCCCUGUGUGUAUGUGACAGUCCCUGAAGGAACACAGUCCUCUUCGCCUUGCUACGGGUUUAUGCAGCGCCAAACCUGAGAGAGGCCACUUCGAGACACCUUGCUAAUUCUCAAACCCAGCUACUUUAGGGUCAGGAGAUGGAUGGCUCAAACUAACCUUUGCCCGAAAUCAACUAAGUUUCAGGAUGGCCUUCUGUUUGUGACAAUGAGUCAGAAGAGAAACAGGGCAUCCCCUUUCCCACCCCGUUUUGAGGUGCUAAAAACUAGAAUCUGAGAGACUGGCCUUGUGAUGCUAAUUCCUUAGGUUUCUCCGUCUGAAGAAUGAGGAAAUUCAACUAAGUGAUGUCUGAAGUCCCUGUUAGCUCCAGAAAUAACGGAUGUUGACUUGGAAGACUAGGUCCCUGGAGCACCCUUCCUCUGGUUUCCAGAGGGGGUUCCUGUAGAAACGAAGAGCAUGGCCACAACGAGGGACGCUGUAUCCUCGCUGCUGUCACUCUGGAAGGGGGUGCAUCCCUGGACUGCUGCAGGUCCAACAAGCAGUGGUCUUUUCCAAAGCUAUCAUUUAUCCAUCACUCUCUGGGCCUGGCAGUAGAAAUGGCAUCCUGCUCCACCCACUGCAUGGGCUCCUCAGCACCGUCUAUUGCUGUCUUUUACCCUGUCCCCACCAUUAAAA
This 741-nucleotide long non-coding RNA is filed under the name Heterocephalus glaber (naked mole-rat). Its description in RNAcentral is "lncRNA (ENSHGLG00000048686.1)". The record is from RNAcentral. Lineage: Eukaryota; Metazoa; Chordata; Mammalia; Rodentia; Bathyergidae.